Molecule: long non-coding RNA, 228 nt
Filed under: Sorghum bicolor (sorghum)
Lineage: Eukaryota; Viridiplantae; Streptophyta; Magnoliopsida; Poales; Poaceae
Description: long non-coding RNA (SBIC_LNC003240)
Source: RNAcentral
GAGGAUUCUUGGUAAUUCUCUAAUUGUGCUUCUAAUUGCUUUCUAAUUAUCUUUGUUCUACUUCAAUAUAUUGCUUAUGACUUUGCUCUACUUGCUUAUAUUCAAGAUUAUAUUGUUCUUAGUUUAUCAUAGUUAUGUACUUGGCUUAGUUAGAUUGGAUCUAUAUACAUGCUUAGGAUCGUAUAGCGUUUAUGCAUCGGAUCCAUAGGUAAAUGAUAGAUAUUGUGU